GGAAUAGGACCAGAGAUACCCGGCAAAGUUCUGCUUGGCCACUCCUAAUCCUCCCUCCACUCUGGUUAACACCAGCUAAAAUGCAGGUCCUCCUCGCCCUGGAUUCGGCUACACCACUGAUGAACAACACACAGGCAGAGGAAAGUGUUUGGAGGUCUUUCACAGGGAAGCAAUUCAUGUUUAUUUGGUAGAGCCAAAAAUUCAACAAGGGAGUAAAGAAGUUCCUCCAAGGUGGGUUUUGCUCAGGACAGGCAGACAUUUCUUGUGGCUAGAAGUGAGUGGCAACAGGUCCUCCGGCAGUGAUGAGCUACCUGGCCUCAGGAGCAUUCAAGUAGACCGAAGGCCAUGGGAGGUUCCAGAAGCUGGAGCAACAGGCCAGGCUUGGAUCAUUGUGAAGGCCUUGCUGGGGCAGCAGGUGUACACUCUGCUACAUGAGAGAAGUCCCUGAGGGGAGAAGUGAGUUUGUCCAAGGAGUAGGAGAGAAGCUGGGCCUGUUUGACAUCACACACCUCCACUCCUGCUGGAGAAGGGAGCCAAGGUGGGCUGAGACAUUCCCAGACUCAGUGCCCACAGCUCCAUCCAUCUGGAAGACUUUGGGUCAAAUCCAUAAAGAACGUGAGAGGGGCCGGGGAGCCAGCCCAGGAUGACUGAAAGUGCAGUGAGUUCUCUGUCUGAGCCUCCAAGGGUCUUCUGCCUGGGCGUUCUCUGCACCACAGGCAGGAGUGGCCAUCUCUUGGAGGUUUUCUAAGGGCUGAGCGAGAGACAGAAGCAAGGAGUUUCCAUACAAGCCUCCAACACCUGAGGAAGAAUUGGAAUAACUGCCGGUGGAGCUGCAGGGUCCCAGGGGAGAAGCCCAGGCUCUGAGUCCACAGGGACUGAGACCUUUGCUUAUCAACUCGGCAACCUCAGGCAACGAUGCUUCCUGGGCCUCAGUUUACUUGUCUGUGGGGAAUUGACACACUAGGUAAAGUGGGGCUGUUAGGAGGCACUGAGCAUGUUAGUUCUUGUUCCUACAUCCCCAGGGCAAGACUUCCUCCCAAGGGAGGUGAUCCAAUGACAAACUCAUUCGUACCAAGUUGCGAACAGCUGACCCCUGAUCCCUCCUUGAAAACGAUGGAAGAGGGCUAGACGCAGUAGCUCACACCUGUAAUCCCAGCACUUUGGGUGGCCAAGGCAGGUGGAUUGCUUGAACUCAGGAGUAUGAGACCAGCCUGGGGAACAUGAUGAAACCUCAUCUGUAGAAAAAAAUACAAAAAAAAAAAAAAAAUUAAUUAGUUGAGUGCGGUGGCGUGCACCUGAAGUCCCAGCUACUUGAGAAGCUGAGGUGGACGGAUCACCUGAGCCCAGGAGGUUGAGGCUGCAGUGAGCUAUGAUGGCACCACUGCACUCCAGCCUGGGUGACAGAGUGAGACUCUCUCUCCAACAAAACAAAACAAUGGAAGAGAUGAGAAACCAGGUUACCAAAUUCCUGGUGCCUAAGAGCACAGAAGUGCCAAGAGGGGGCAGCCAGCAGUAGUAAAGAUAAAUUUUAGAUUUUCCACACAAUUUUUGGAGAACUGACUCUGGGUUUACUGAUUUGGAUUUGGAUAAAUUCUAACAGGCUUCAGAUGGAUGGAAACACAGCGGAAGAUGAUGUUGAAUUUUUUGGAAGGUUAUACAUGCUGCACUCGGGAAUCGCUAACAUUUUAAAAAGACUUUAGUGGUGCUGCUGUGGAGCAACUGGAACGCACAAGCAUUGCUGGUGGAUGUAAAGUGGUGCAACCAUCUGGAAAAGGGCCUGGAAGUCUCUUAUAAAACCGAAAAUACACCUACCCCAGACCCAACCAUUUCAAUCCGAUAUUUACUCAAGAUAAAGGAAAAUUUAUGUCCACAAAAAUAUUUGUUCACACCAGUUUUAUGAAUCAUAGCCAAAACCCAGAAACAGCCCAUUAAGAGGAGAAUGUAAAAACAAAUUAUAUCUUCUUAAAAUGGAAUACUACUCACUAACAAAAAGAAAUGAAUCCUCAGCACGUCACAAAUGACAUGAAUAUAGCACAAAACACACUGAACGGAAGGAGCCAGACAGAACUGACUACAUACGACAUGACUUCAUUUCUAUAAAGUUCUAGAACAGGCAAAACAAAUCUGUGGUGAAGAAAAAAUAAGAGCAGUGCUUGCUUCUGAAGAUUGAAGGGGGUAUUGCUUGGAAAGGGCAUUAGAGAAACUUCUAGGGUUCUGGGGAUGUUCUAAGCCUUGAAAGAAGUUUAUGCACUUGUUGGAACUCAAUGAAUGUACACUUAGCAUUUGCACAUAACACUGUAUCUAAAUCUUACCUCAAAAAAGGACUGUAAACAAAUAUGAAGCUCUAAUUAAUGAUACGCCAGGUGAAAUAUUUAGGGAAACAAAUGGAGGUCCGCAAGUUACUUUGAAAUGCAUUAAACACAAGAUGCCAAGGGUUGAUGGAUGAGAGAUAAACGGGUGGGUAGAUGUGUGAUAAAGUACCGCAAAUAUUAACUGUAGAACCUAGAGUGUCUACUUUACAAUUGUUUCCACUUUUCUGUGUGUUUGAAAAUUUUCAUAAUACAAUGAUGGAAUACUAUGCAGCCAUAAAAAGAAAUGAAUUAACAGCAUUUGCAGUGACCUGGAUGAGAUUGGAGACUAUUAUUCUAUGUAAUGUAACUCAGGAAUGGAAAACCGAAGAUCAUAUGUUCUCACUGAUACGUGGGAGCUAAGCUAUGAGGACGCAAAGGCAUAAGAAUGAUACAAUGGCCUUUGGGGACUUAGGGGGAAGAGUUGGAGGGGGGCGAGGGAUAAAAUACUACAAAUAUGGUGCAGUAUAUACUGCAUGGGUGAUGGAUGCUCCGAAGUCUUACAAAGCACCACUAAAGAACUUACUCUUGUAACCAAAUACCACCUGCCCCCCAGUAACUUAUGGAAAAAAAUUUUAAGUUGGGGUUUUUAUCAUAAAAGCCAGCCUGAAAGUGUAUCUUAAUUUUGCAUGUGUCUUCAGCCUGCUGGAGAAGCUCUCCCGCUGGAAGCAGAGCCUGGAAGUCAGGUCAGGAUGCUGCGGUCUAAGUCCCACCGCUGGCUCCGGAUAUAAGAGUAGGGCCAAGGGCGAUCACAUCAUCUCCUCUCACUCCCCUUAUCUGCACCACACAGGCCCUCAGAGAGAUAAAGGCGUCCCACAAAAGGGCUUUGAUGUUGAGGGUGACCAACAUCGCAUCGGGACAAAGAAUGAUUAUUUGGUUACAGAAAGACAGGCUGAUCAAGUCAAAAUCUAGCAACUUGCAGCUUUCAUUUAGCUGAGCAGCAUCUGAAACCAGAGUCAAGACUGGAGAACCAGGGGCUGCCUUCUCGGUCAGACAGACUCGGAGGAGGCCAGUAUCCAGAUGGUGUCGCCUCAUACACUGCAAACCUGAAAACAGGCCACCGUGCCCACCUGCUCCCUGGAGGUCAGCCACAUGCGGAGAUCCACCCAGCAGAUAGGUUUUUGGAUUUUGCUGAUCGAUGGGAAGGAUCCAUCGAUGUGGAUUCCAAGCCUUUCAAUAAAAGCGACUUUGAUGUUGUUGGUUCUAGUUUUGCACUUUCUUUACUAAAGAAAAUGAAAAUAAUCCUUCCCUCAGUAUCAUCAAGAUCAUGAAGGCAAAUACAGCAUGAAUUUGAGAAAAGAUCCUAAACCGGAAAAAACGUGGUUGCAAAGGGCAUUCUAUUUGAAUAAGGAUGAUGGGUU
Molecule: long non-coding RNA, 3709 nt
Filed under: Homo sapiens (human)
Lineage: Eukaryota; Metazoa; Chordata; Mammalia; Primates; Hominidae
Description: HSALNT0274004
Source: RNAcentral